RNAcentral lists this transfer RNA (75 nucleotides) under Candidatus Shapirobacteria bacterium CG03_land_8_20_14_0_80_39_12. Its description in RNAcentral is "tRNA-Cys". It matches the Rfam family "tRNA". Rfam says of the family: Transfer RNA (tRNA) molecules are approximately 80 nucleotides in length. Their secondary structure includes four short double-helical elements and three loops (D, anti-codon, and T loops). Lineage: Bacteria; Candidatus Shapironibacteriota. The record is from RNAcentral.
GAUCGCGUAGCCAAGUAGUAAGGCAAGUGUCUGCAAAACACUCAUGCGUGGGUGCAAUUCCCACCGCGAUCUCAA